CUCAGGACGAACGCUGGCGGCGUGCUUAACACAUGCAAGUCGAGCGGAAAGGCCCUUCGGGGUACUCGAGCGGCGAACGGGUGAGUAACACGUGAGCAACCUGCCCCAGGCUUUGGGAUAACCCCGGGAAACCGGGGCUAAUACCGAAUAUGACCUCCGAUCGCAUGGUUGGUGGUGGAAAGUUUUUCGGCUUGGGAUGGGCUCGCGGCCUAUCAGCUUGUUGGUGGGGUGAUGGCCUACCAAGGCGACGACGGGUAGCCGGCCUGAGAGGGCGACCGGCCACACUGGGACUGAGACACGGCCCAGACUCCUACGGGAGGCAGCAGUGGGGAAUAUUGCACAAUGGGCGGAAGCCUGAUGCAGCGACGCCGCGUGAGGGAUGACGGCCUUCGGGUUGUAAACCUCUUUCAGCAGGGACGAAGCG
This 424-nucleotide ribosomal RNA is filed under the name Micromonospora sp. 448. RNAcentral describes it as "bacterial SSU rRNA". It matches the Rfam family "Bacterial small subunit ribosomal RNA", at positions 23 to 452 of the family's 1533-position model. Lineage: Bacteria; Bacillati; Actinomycetota; Actinomycetes; Micromonosporales; Micromonosporaceae. The record is from RNAcentral.